RNAcentral lists this non-coding RNA (29 nucleotides) under Rattus norvegicus (Norway rat). The record is from RNAcentral. Lineage: Eukaryota; Metazoa; Chordata; Mammalia; Rodentia; Muridae.
UUCACACGUAUGCCUUGGGUUUUAAUUGC